AUUUCAACAAUACACUUGCCAAAAUCCGAAUGCAAACAUUUGUUUCAUUACUUUUACUGUCGUAGCUGUUACUAUUGUCAUACUUGUCUUGCAUAUAGUAUAUAUAGUUGUUUUUAUUUUUGUUCUCGUUACUUUUUUUCGAAUGAUGUCAACCAAACAACAAAUCAAUAAACAAUAAUUGCUGUUGUUGCAGCCUAGAAUCAGAGAUGCUGGUUCUGGAUUAUUGUUGUCAUCGUGUUUUUCAAAAGAAGAGUAGUAUAUGUAAAUGUUGUAUGUUAGUCAGUGUGUGUUAGUUGAGAUGCUGUGUCUGAUGUGAACAGGGGAGAUAGAUCUUUUGACUUUAAGACCUGUUAAAGCAACAUUAAACAAAAAAUUAAAUAAACAGCAAAAAAAAACUGGAAUUGACAAAAAUAAAGUUGAGAAAAAAAUAUAAUAAAAUCAAAAGAAACGAAAUAAAAAUUAGCACACUGUUGUUGGGAAAAAUCAAUAUUGGAAUUGACAAAGUUCAUAAGACAACAACAGCGAUGAUGAAAACAAGAGCAUAAAAACUAAAGAGUCUACUGCUAACUCUCUGUCAUAAAUGGGAACCGUUCUCAAAGAGAGCCAAAAUACUGGAAGUAAAACAAUCCAUUAGAUACAGUUGUCUCUAUCACCCUCAAAUGUGAAUCUAUAAGAUACAAAAACAAACGUGGUUGAAUGGAAAAGAUUGCAAUACAAUAAUAAUGCUCUCACAGAAAAAGGGAGAGCGAAAGAGCGGGAGAAAAGAAUCUGACAGACUGGAUGUUUCGAUGAAUAGCUCUGGCUGGCUGGCGAACAAGUAAGUAAAUUGUAAUUUCUUGCAGUCGUCAGAUAGGUAGUAGACAUUGAACUUAGGCAGCCGUAACAACACAUCACUGAAAAUAAUUUUUAUUAAUAAUAAAUACUCUACUAAACCAAGAACCUGAAACACUACCUACAUAUUAAGAAAAAAAAGAAAGAAACUAAAAUUUUAUAUGUAAAAGAAAAUCUUCAACAAACUCUAGUUUUCUUUUAAAAUAAAGUGCAGGCAAAUUGUUAAUAAUUAAAAGAAUUAUUAAAUAAAUGUGUAUUAAACAAACUUGGCUGAACCUAAGAGAUAACAAUUAAAUUAAUUAAAAAUUUAAAUGAAAAAUGUAUUAUUAAUAAAUCUAAAGUGUUUAUAAAAAAGUUGUGAAAAUAUAUGUUAAACUAGAAAAUAUUAACAGAAAAUCGAAAAUUAUUUAAACAUGUAAAAAUUCUAUUUGUAUUUGGUUAAAAAUUUUAAAUUACAAAAUUUUCCUUUUUCGUGAGAAGUGAAUGAAAAAAAAACACACAAAUGCAAAAUUUUGUGUACCCUUAAAAAACCCCUGGUGCGCGCUGCCCUCCCUAUACUCUAAAUUUAUACAACAACAGCACAUACAAUAUAACAUUACAACAAAAAUAACAACAACAAUAUCCAGAAAAACGGAAUUAAAAUUUUUGAAAGAAACGGUUAUUAUUUAAAAAACAAAAUUGAAAUUAAAAAUUUAUUUUAGUUUUCGAUAAAAGAAAUUGAUUAAAAUUUUGCAAAAUAAGCAAAAAAUGCUUUAAAGUGAAUGGUAUGAAAGAAAAGUAAAAUAAGAAAAAAAGCAAAAAGUGUAGCAAAAAAAAAAGAAAAUGUUUCGAUAUCUUUGAAUUGUAUCUAAACCCAUUUUACUACUCAUACAAAUGAAACAAUUCUCAUGUCACGGUUUAAUUGGAUUCAAGUUGAAUUGAGAGCAGCAACACAACAAACGCGCGGCGUUUCAAGUAUUCCUGUGGUUUUCAUACCCACAACAACAGAAACAGCAACAACAACUACUCAUACAAAUCAAACAAAUUCAGAUAUUGUCGAAACUCUCCUUUUCGGUAAAAGAGAGCACAACAACUUUCCCAUAGUGCUCUAAAUAGGAGAGCAUUUAAAAAAAGCAUAUAAGAGCAUAUUUUCAAAAACUAGUGGAAAUUGUGUACGAAAACAAAAACAACAAGAAGUUCAGAAAAGAGUCGCGUGCGUAUUUUCAUCAACAACAUCAUCGUUAAACAUUUCGAAUAGAAAACCAAAAAAAAAGUAGCAGUAGCAGCAGCAGCAGCUUUAUAACUACACCGCGUUAAGGAAACACCUUGCUUUUUUGGAAACCAAUACUAAAACCUACACUUGCUACAAACACAUACAAAACAAAAAAUCCAAAAAAUUAAAAAAAAAAACGAACCGAGUUUCCUUUUUUCAGACACUCCGACUUGUAACUUGUAAAUUUUUGGAUCUAUUUUGUUUUAAACGGAUUAAUAACUUAUUUCCAUGUUUAAACAUUUGGCCGCAUUGAUUUUUGUGUUUUUAAAAUUUAACGUCUUUUUUUAACAACUUACUAUACAAAAAAAAAAAAAAUGGAGCAUCCUUUAAAGGUAAGUC
RNAcentral lists this long non-coding RNA (2422 nucleotides) under Lucilia cuprina (Australian sheep blowfly). RNAcentral's name for it is "uncharacterized LOC124419639". Lineage: Eukaryota; Metazoa; Arthropoda; Insecta; Diptera; Calliphoridae. The record is from RNAcentral.